UUAUUUUCUAAACCUCGUGUGUGUUUGGUUGGUACGAAUGACAAUUUCAUUACUCUUGUUUCUUAUUAUCUCUCUAAAUUUUCUCCACCCUUGUCUCUUCCAAACAGAUCCUCUGGUGGCGGUGGUUGAUCUAUCAUUCACGGCCAAAUCUAGUCACAUGAAGCACCAAUCUAGCACUCUAACAACUAGAUUUAACUGUCGGAAGCAUCUAUCUAGUCGUGGUGGUAUCAGUGCGGUCGAUGGAGGAAAUUUAUACACAGAAAGAGAGAGGUAAAUGAGUAAAGAGGGAAAUAAAAAUGGAAGAUGAAUAGGUUUUGUCUUAUACAUAAGGUAGUAAUUGUUAAAAUUGAUUAAGGGUAUUUUUAUCUACCAACUUUUUUUAACCUAUUCCCACGGAUGGAAUAGUUAUUACCAAUGAAAGAUAAGAAUAGCUCUUCCGACUUAUCCUUGAAUGACUAUUUUUCUCGAAAUAAUUAUUUCUUUCAACUAAACAUACAUGUCAUGAGAUUCGAGAUUUAUAAGUCUCAUCAGAUGGUUGAGUCAACUUAAGUUAAUUUUAUGCUGGUUCCUUGGUUGAUUUGUUUAAUUGAUAUAAUUCAUUAAAUUCUUAUAUAAUAUGCAUUACUUGACUGCGUUGGUGACUUCUGCUUGUUUCUAUAACUUCAUAAAAAUAAAAUACAACCACAGAAGUUGUACAGGAGGCCAACCUGCUGAUGCCUUGUUGCCUGUAAAACAACAUGAAUCUUGGUG
This 750-nucleotide long non-coding RNA is filed under the name Theobroma cacao (cacao). Its description in RNAcentral is "long non-coding RNA (TCAC_LNC005607)". The record is from RNAcentral. Lineage: Eukaryota; Viridiplantae; Streptophyta; Magnoliopsida; Malvales; Malvaceae.